This 230-nucleotide long non-coding RNA is filed under the name Canis lupus familiaris (dog). Its description in RNAcentral is "lncRNA (ENSCAFG00000049399.2, ENSCAFG00845004897.1)". The record is from RNAcentral. Lineage: Eukaryota; Metazoa; Chordata; Mammalia; Carnivora; Canidae.
AGAAUGAGUCUGCUGAAAUCCAGCCUAUGAAAAAAGACAGAUGAAUCCAUUUUAGGAAGUAUCCCAGGAAUGGAAAUGAAAUACAUUUCCUGAACUCCGAGGACCAGAAGCUGCCCUUGUCUGCCACCUUUGAUGACCUCGCCGAGGACGGACAGACGGAGAGGGAUGACGCUGACCCAAUGGCCUCGAAACAAUCACACGGCUCCCUGGACAUGAUCCGGAGCCUGUGU